CCAAUACACAGUAAUAUAAACAUGUAUCUCACAUUCAAAUAUGCAACGUAGCACUAAAACUUAAUCUUCAACUCAUUAUCAUUCACAUUCACAGUCAAAUAUUCACCAAAACGUAUUAUAAGCUAACCAAUUACAAAUAUAAGCUAAUGUUCCAUAAAUGUUAAACAAUAUAAUUUACAAUAGUUGUACAGACGCAAUUAAAUAAUAAAAUAUAUACAAAAGUUCUACAAUAACAUGAAUAUAUACAAAUGAACUAUAAACUAGUAAAAGUAUCAUCAUCGGGCGUAGGUGAACGAAGCUGCUCUAGUGUAUGGAAAUCAGCCUCAUGCUCCUGUUCAUCAUCGCCAGCCUGCUCGCCAUUGCCACCCUGUUGAUAGAAUCAAAAAUAUAAAUCAUUAGUUCGUAUAUAUAUAUGUGAGAAUUAACAAACUAACCUUAAUCGAAUAACAUAAGAAAUAAGAAUACCUGAGUAGGUGGAGGUGGACGAAAAGCCUCUUCCAAGAGGGUAAUCACCAUCCAGAGCAUCUCGACGCUCUAAGCGUCGAACUGCUCCCGUGGCAAUCCCGUACUCUAUGCAGAAGCCCCUGCUAUAAUAUCCUGAGAAAUCUGGUGAAGACGAGAACUGGAAGGCAACUGCUGACGCUGAAAGACCGAAUCGGUAUGGAACCUAUCCGACACGGCCCCUAUCAGCCGCCGGAAGAUAUCGUCAUCCAAGCCAGCGCCCGUAUGAGAUUGUCCGACAUGUGCUCUCGGACGCUGGCGCUGGCUGGAGCCUAUAAAGAGAUAUAAAUUUGAUUACUAAUAAUAAUUUAUAUAAUGUGAUAAAUUCAGAUAAUUUCAUGAAACAUAAAAAAAUAUUACCUCCAGGAAGUGUAUAUGCGGGUAUCCUCGGUAAUGUGAUAAAUUCGAUAUCUGCCAGUACUGCUAGUAGGGGGAUCCUGAGACGUGACCCAGAGUCUCAGCUCCUCAUCCCGAUCUAAUACAAUAUCGGGAAGAGGGGUGGCGGAAUCUAACGGCUCAGAACCCCUCCUAAUAGUCUCCAGCUCAGCUAUACGCUCGUCCCGAAGCCUCUGAAAUCGGUCCUGUAAUGUAUUCCUUAUACGUAUGUUAAUUAUAUCAUUUUAUUUAUGAUUGAAUAUUAUUAAAAGCUAAAUAGUAAGAUGAGUUUUACCCGUAUAGCUAAAGCUGCCUGAGACAAAGCACGCUCGUCCUUAGGCGUGUGGGCUCGAUCCCAAAACUCUAG
This 1243-nucleotide long non-coding RNA is filed under the name Panax ginseng (ginseng). Its description in RNAcentral is "long non-coding RNA (PGIN_LNC013278)". Lineage: Eukaryota; Viridiplantae; Streptophyta; Magnoliopsida; Apiales; Araliaceae. The record is from RNAcentral.